Molecule: long non-coding RNA, 704 nt
Filed under: Ananas comosus (pineapple)
Lineage: Eukaryota; Viridiplantae; Streptophyta; Magnoliopsida; Poales; Bromeliaceae
Description: long non-coding RNA (ACOM_LNC011144)
Source: RNAcentral
UUAAAGAUUAAAUUACAGAAAAUCUUAUAUCAAUACCUUUUUCUCUUUUUUUUUUUUUUCUGUCAUUCAAAAAUCUAUACUUUAUUUAUUUAAAAAAUAAAAAAUAUUCAUUCGGUUCUCGCCGUCAGUAUUCCCUUUAUAUCUUAUUUUUUAUACCCAAAAUAUCCUUGAAACUCACAUCUUUCUCAUUCUUCCUCACCGACAUCCUCGCCCUACUCCGCCGCCUCGCGCUCACCCAUGCCUCGUCCUCGCGCACUCCUCUUUCCGUGCCUAGACACACGCCCUCGCCCCUCCUCCGCUGCCUCACCCUCGCCCAUCUCUCCGCCCAUACCCACCACGAUCUUCUCUUUACAAUCGUCGAAAUAGAGGGACGGCGAGGGUGCUGGAGGGGCAGGGAAGCAAGUGAAGAAAACGAAGUUGGAGCUAGGGUCGAGAGAGGCGGGGGUAAGGGUGCAAGAUGAGCAGGAUUACAAAAGAGACGAAAAAGAUUACGAUAAUUUGAUCAUUUUGUUGUACCAUACCCCAUUGUGAAUAUUUUUUAUUUUUUAAAAGGCAAAGUAUACGUUUUAAAUAAUAUGAGAGGAAAGUGAAAGAACGAAUAUCGACAGAAAAAUUUUCUAUAAUUAGCCUUUAUUAAAUCCAUGCUAGAUCUAGAGAGAGUUGAGCCUCGGCACAAAUAUCUGUACUUAUGAUUUUUAGUCAUC